This 646-nucleotide long non-coding RNA is filed under the name Mus spicilegus (steppe mouse). Its description in RNAcentral is "lncRNA (ENSMSIG00000010650.1)". The record is from RNAcentral. Lineage: Eukaryota; Metazoa; Chordata; Mammalia; Rodentia; Muridae.
UGUUGCAGAAGUGAAGCUUGCGUGGUUCUCUAAGGAUCAGCUGCAGAAGUUCACAGAAUCUACUGCCCAUCCCUGAGCAUAUUAGAGGUCUUGCUAUGUUGCCCAGGAUAGUUCAGUUCUCAAGCGAUCCUCCAACCUUAGCCUGACAAGCAGCUGGAAACCAUCCACCCUCACUUAGCAUAGCAGCUUUGAUCACAGAAGGUAGUUAUCUGCUAAAUUUCUCACUGUGAAGCCACUCCUUUUCCUUUUAUAGCUAAGAAGUAUCUUUUAUGAGGUUAGGGCUCGGCUCAGCGUUAGAGAGCCUGCCUACCGAGCUGGGGUUCUUGGUUCUGAUGCCAGCCUCCCACAAGAAAGCUCUUGUCUCACCAGGGGCUUGCCUGGUAGCUGACCUGAAACUCUCAUUCCUCCUGCUCCCACACCUGUCCAGACGAGCGACUAUGAUCACGCUGCUCUGAGCGCGCCAUUCAGAGUUUGAGCUGCUGAUGCGGCAGUUUUCGAGUUUGUGUGAUGCCCGAAGCUAAGGGAAAAAACUCGAGGCAGAAAUUCAGUUACAAUGUCAACUGAGAGUGUCUGAAUGCUCGUCAGAAGGCAGUGCCAUGGAUCAAGUGCUCCCACAUCCGACAUGCCUGGGACCACACCAAAUCCA